AUUGAACGCUGGCGGCAUGCUUUACACAUGCAAGUCGAACGGUAACAGGCCGCAAGGUGCUGACGAGUGGCGAACGGGUGAGUAAUGCAUCGGAACGUGCCCAGUCGUGGGGGAUAACUACUCGAAAGAGUAGCUAAUACCGCAUACGAUCUAUGGAUUAAAGCGGGGGACCGUAAGGCCUCGCGCGGUUGGAGCUGCCGAUGUCAGAUUAGGUAGUUGGUGGGGUAAAGGCUCACCAAGCCAACGAUCUGUAGCGGGCCUGAGAGGACGACCAGCCACACUGGAACUGAGACACGGCCCAGACUCCUACGGGAGGCAGCAGUGGGGAAUUUUGGACAAUGGGCGCAAGCCUGAUCCAGCAAUGCCGCGUGCAGGAAGAAGGCCUUCGGGUUGUAAACUGCUUUUGUACGGAACGAAACGGCUCUGGUUAAUACCCGGGGCUAAUGACGGUACCGUAAGAAUAAGCACCGGCUAACUACGUG
Molecule: ribosomal RNA, 482 nt
Filed under: uncultured bacterium
Lineage: Bacteria
Description: partial 16S ribosomal RNA
Rfam family: Bacterial small subunit ribosomal RNA
Source: RNAcentral